GACGAACGCUGGCGGCGUGCUUAACACAUGCAAGUCGAGCGGUAAGGCCCUUUCGGGGGUACACGAGCGGCGAACGGGUGAGUAACACGUGGGUGACCUGCCCUCAGCUCUGGGAUAAGCCUGGGAAACCGGGUCUAAUACUGGAUAUGACUCCAUGACGCAUGUUGUGGGGUGGAAAGCCUUGUGCGGCUGAGGAUGGGCCCGCGGCCUAUCAGCUUGUUGGUGGGGUGAUGGCCUACCAAGGCGACGACGGGUAGCCGGCCUGAGAGGGCGACCGGCCACACUGGGACUGAGACACGGCCCAGACUCCUACGGGAGGCAGCAGUGGGGAAGUCUUGCGCAAUGGGCGAAAGCCUGACGCAGCGACGCCGCGUGAGGGAUGACGGCCU
Molecule: ribosomal RNA, 389 nt
Filed under: uncultured bacterium
Lineage: Bacteria
Description: bacterial SSU rRNA
Rfam family: Bacterial small subunit ribosomal RNA
Source: RNAcentral